This 587-nucleotide ribosomal RNA is filed under the name uncultured bacterium. Its description in RNAcentral is "bacterial SSU rRNA". It matches the Rfam family "Bacterial small subunit ribosomal RNA", at positions 337 to 916 of the family's 1533-position model. The record is from RNAcentral.
UCCUACGGGAGGCAGCAGUGGGGAAUAUUGGACAAUGGGGGCAACCCUGAUCCAGCCAUGCCGCGUGUGUGAAGAAGGCCCUCGGGUUGUAAAGCACUUUCAGCGAGGAAGAACGCCUAGCGGUUAAUACCCGCUAGGAAAGACAUCACUCGCAGAAGAAGCACCGGCUAACUCCGUGCCAGCAGCCGCGGUAAUACGGAGGGUGCAAGCGUUAAUCGGAAUUACUGGGCGUAAAGCGCGCGUAGGUGGCUUGAUAAGCCGGUUGUGAAAGCCCCGGGCUCAACCUGGGAACGGCAUCCGGAACUGUCAAGCUAGAGUGCAGGAGAGGAAGGUAGAAUUCCCGGUGUAGCGGUGAAAUGCGUAGAGAUCGGGAGGAAUACCAGUGGCGAAGGCGGCCUUCUGGACUGACACUGACACUGAGGUGCGAAAGCGUGGGUAGCAACCAGGAUUAGAUACCCUGGUAGUCCACGCCGUAAACGAUGUCGACCAGCCGUUGGGUGCCUAGCGCACUUUGUGGCGAAGUUAACGCGAUAAGUCGACCGCCUGGGGAGUACGGCCGCAAGGUUAAAACUCAAAUGAAUUGACGG